Molecule: long non-coding RNA, 3250 nt
Filed under: Nicotiana tabacum (common tobacco)
Lineage: Eukaryota; Viridiplantae; Streptophyta; Magnoliopsida; Solanales; Solanaceae
Description: long non-coding RNA (NTAB_LNC009234)
Source: RNAcentral
AGCAUAGGCAACAUAAAAAGGAUAUUUCUGAAAUACAAAGAAUUCUGGGAAAAGAGCUGGAUUUUCACAUUGAUUUUCCUUCAUUUUUUCUGAGAUUCCAAGGGGAUUUGAAAACAUAAAUAGCUCCAUGUUUCCCUAAUUCAUCAUCUCUGCUGUUAAAGUUGGUCUAGUCAAAUACUUUGGGUUUUCUGGUUGCUGCUCUGUUGCUCCUGCUAUAUUCUGGUUGCUGCUCUUCCAGUUCUUAUUCAUCUUUUUCUUCCCUUUUUCUUUGCUGAUAAUAACAUAUGUACUGAUAUUUUUUCCCGAUAAUAGAGUUGGUAUUUGAAUGUUAUAUGGCUAUGAGAUUUCAGCUAUCUGUUCACUUCAUGUAUACUGGAUGUUUUUGUUUUUACGUUUGAUUAUGAGUUCAAGUUUGAUUUAAAGCAUCAGAAUGUCACAAACCUUAAUGAAAUAGGAAACAAUGCAUUAAAAUCAGUUAUUUCUUUUAGCCUUUGACUGUCAAAGUAUUCUUGAAGUUCUGAAAAAUCCCUAAAUGUUUGAGAUUUCAGAAGUUUGGCAGCAUGUUCUUUUUGUGUAAAGCCUUCCCCUUUUGAAAUCACUUUUUCUUGGUAUUGUUAGCAUUUGGUAAUGCAGGAGUUUGUGAGUGCUUGGCACGAGGCCCAGAUUUACAAAUCUUGCCACUGGUUGGUUAGCCUUUUGUGAAUGAUAGGUAGCUUCAAGAAUAUGGCAAAACUUAUUACUAAGUUGAUCACUAGGCAGAUUCAAAAUUUAUUUGAUUUCAUCCUGUACAUAUUACUUUUAUUAAUUUAGUUCAAGGCCUGUAAUUAUUUGUAAAUAUUUAAUGAAGUUAUUUAUUAUUGGAAGUGUAUAAAAUGUAUUCAAACUUAGUUUAAAUCAUUGCUAUUUUAGCUCUUUUCUUUACAACAGUCCAAAUGUUUCUUGUUCAGAGUUCGAAAACUGGGCCCAUUCCAUUUAAGCACAUCUAGGACCAGUACAUAUUAACUUGAGAUGUUUCAGUUUAGUAUAUGUUGUUUGUUCCUGAAAUGUGACUUAAAUAGCUAGUAUAAAUGUUUUGAAAAUCGCUGAUUUGUGCACGUCCAUAUUUGGCAAGAAUGUUGAGAUUCUGGUGUGUUGUUUGAACUCUUUUUAGCCCUUCUAUGCAAUACAAAUGUUUUUUAAGUUUAUCCUUUUGUCAAAAUUAUGUUAAGUAAUCACUAGUUUCCUUUGCAUAAUGUUAGAUCCAAUCGACCGUGGCCUAAUUUGUCAAAAUUGGUUCAUUAACUUGUAGUGAUAUCAUUGACUCAAAGAGAAAACAUAUUUAGAUCUUUUGUCCACAUUAACAGAACUCACACUUUACCCGACCCCAUUUCAUAAUUCUUUGACAUUCACUUGACUUCAAACCUUAGAAAAGGAUGAUCAUAUGAAUACCGUAUUUUGCUUUAGGCACGAUUGUUAAAUAAACCAUCAUGAUUAUGGGUAUGGUUCCCGUGACAUAGUUAUGAUGCCUAAUUUCCUAAAUUCGUGUGUGCAUUUUAUGUGACCCAAUCACAACAACUUCGAAUAAUAAUAAAAAAAAAGUCGCGAAUCGCGGGUGCAUUUCAUGUAGUGUGGUUUGCGGCGUGUUCCAAAAUGGCAAGAGUACGACAAUCAUAACUUGUUCAAGAAAAUUUCCAUAAAUCCUAAAAGCGGAUAAAAUAAUUAAAAGUGGUUAUAAAGUUAAAAAAUGCACACUAGGUUUAAAACAUGUAAUAAAUUAGAUAAUUAGGCCAAUAUUAAUAGUUAAGCGACUGUGCUCGAACCACGGAACCCGGAAAUGCCUAACACCUUCUCCCGGGUUAACAAAAUUCCUUAACUAGUUUUCUGGUUUCGCAGACUUUUAAAUGAAGUCGAUUUUCCUCGAUUUGGGAUUUAAAGUAAACCGAUGACUUGGGACACCAAAUAAAUUAUUCCAAGUGGUGACUCUGAAAUAAAUAAAUAAAUAAUUCCGUUUCGAUUUAUGUUACUUUAAUUGGAAAAACUCCUUUAUAUCCCACUCGGAAGAAAAAAGGAGGUGUGACAACUCUGGCAACUCUGUUGGGGACUAAGAACCCAGAACCUUUGGUUUAGGGUUCAAGAAUUCGAGCUUAUAAUAACUGUUAUACGUGGCUUUAUUUUUUUUUACAUGUUUGAGCCUAAUGUGCUAAAUGCCUCUUUUUACUGCUUUGAUAUCGUUUGAACUGUAUAUAAAUUGUUACGAAACCCUCUUCUCUCUGAGUCUUCUAAAUCAUCUAGGAAGUGUGCACUUCCUAUGAUUUAUUUUCUGUUAGAGUCAUAUCCCAAUUUAAGAAUGAGGUUCGGACAAGUUGCAAAGCCGGUGAAACUUCUGUAUUCACAGUACGCUGCCCCCCUCGGCUCGAGUCAUCUGCUCGGGUAAGCCAGGUCUAGAAUAAAUACACCCAGGUUUUUAAACCUAGAAUAACAUAGCCUCAUGCCGGAUCCCUAGUAGAAAUGCUUGUUUGAAUCACGUGCAUUUGACUUUGGGGACUCAACACAGGGGUUGGGUUCGUCUAGGGCCGGUGCACCCUAAAUCAAAAGAUCAUCCCGAUGCAUUUUACUUGCUACUUGUACACUUAUUUGCUUUGGAUUGCAUGUUCACCGACUUCUAGAAUAAGGGAGAAAAGUUGGAAAAAUCAAAUUGAGGUAUGAGAGAGAUAAUUACCUACUUUUGAAAAAUCAGGUGUCCAAAAUAUACCGAAACUCUGCCGAAAACAAAGAGAGAAAAAGAAAAAGGAAAUAAAAGAAAAUUGUUUCAAAUAUUUCAUGUUUUUCUGUUGCGUCAAAAACUUCCUGAACUACGCAGGUUUUAUUCUCACCAGAUGUGGUAUACGUAGGCAACCCUUAUCGGGUCCAACCCUAUUUUUAGAAAAAUAACCCAAAAAUAUGAAAGGUUGUCAUUUUGUCAUAAAUAAAGUUAGAUGAUGUCGUUUUUGUCUAAAUCGCCAGAAAUGCCCCGACAGGGAGCCGGAAGGUUGUUUUUGCAAGAAUAACCACCUAUGAUCGUUUUUUCAAAUUUUGGCCAAUUAGCAAACACAUCCCUAAAAUCUUCCUUCCUGAAGUGCUGAAGGGCCGUAUUUGCAAAGGUGUUUUGUUUUGAGCAAGUUGUUUGAGUUGCAAUUUUGCAAAAAUAAUAUUCUUCCUUUUGGGUUAAAAUAAAUCAUGGGUUUUUAACCGAUCACUUUAAAUAAAUGUGCAGGAUGAGCACUAUUGAAAA